This 446-nucleotide ribosomal RNA is filed under the name uncultured bacterium. RNAcentral describes it as "partial 16S ribosomal RNA". It matches the Rfam family "Bacterial small subunit ribosomal RNA", at positions 338 to 795 of the family's 1533-position model. The record is from RNAcentral.
CCUACGGGGGGCAGCAGUCGAGAAUCAUUCACAAUGGGGGAAACCCUGAUGGUGCGACGCCGCGUGGGGGAAUGAAGGUCUUCGGAUUGUAAACCCCUGUCAUGUGGGAGCAAAUUAAAAAGAUAGUACCACAAGAGGAAGAGACGGCUAACUCUGUGCCAGCAGCCGCGGUAAUACAGAGGGCGCAAGCGUUGUUCGGAAUGACUGGGCGUAACGCGUGCGUAGGCUGUUUCGUAAGUCGUGUGUGAAAGGCGCGGGCUCAACCCGCGGACGGCACAUGAUACUGCGAGACUAGAGUAAUGGAGGGGGAACCGGAAUUCUCGGUGUAGCAGUGAAAUGCGUAGAUAUCGGGAGGAACACUCGUGGCGAAGGCGGGUUCCUGGACAUUAACUGACGCUGAGGCACGAAGGCCAGGGGAGCGAAAGGGAUUAGAUACCCCAGUAGUC